This is a non-coding RNA of Dermacentor andersoni, 528 nucleotides long. Lineage: Eukaryota; Metazoa; Arthropoda; Arachnida; Ixodida; Ixodidae. The record is from RefSeq and is a predicted model, not a curated record.
AGUGUUGCUUCCGCUCGUGGCAACCCUGGUGGUAGGCGGAGUUGCAGACGUGGAUCCAAUCUGUAGAGACGUGCGUUCGUGAAUUCACUGGUGUUCCAGAGGUGCUGUGUAAGCUCGCGGGCGAGGGAGCGAAGACUUGUGGCUGCAUCUGUUCUUGACAGAGGUAGACAUCGGUGGCGGUGUAUAUGUUGAAAAGGGCCUGCUGAAGAGGCUGCGCCAGGAUGCUAACAAUUCAGGCUUGCAUUCGCGGGGCGCCUCCUGAAAGAUUCUUUUACAAAAUAAGAGGUUGAAGGGAGGUCCUACCUCGGGCGGCCAUCAAAUGUUUUCCACAGAAGGAUCCGUUGGACUCCAAGAAGGUCAACGCCAUACUCGACAUGUCCCCUGCUAUGCCACCCCGGUCCGGCCCAACCGAUCACCCAGCAGCGUACGUGGAUCGAUUUGACAUUAUCAAUGAAUUUGCUUGCAGUUGCGAGUGAAAUAACGAUCAUCGCUCAAGACAAUAAAUGAGUGUGCGUACAUUUCGUCACG